This 253-nucleotide ribosomal RNA is filed under the name uncultured bacterium. RNAcentral describes it as "partial 16S ribosomal RNA". It matches the Rfam family "Bacterial small subunit ribosomal RNA", at positions 524 to 776 of the family's 1533-position model. The record is from RNAcentral.
UACGUAGGGUGCAAGCGUUGUCCGGAAUUAUUGGGCGUAAAGAGCUCGUAGGCGGUCUGUCGCGUCGGAUGUGAAAACCCAGGGCUCAACCCUGGGCCUGCAUUCGAUACGGGCAGACUAGAGUUCGGUAGGGGAGACUGGAAUUCCUGGUGUAGCGGUGAAAUGCGCAGAUAUCAGGAGGAACACCGGUGGCGAAGGCGGUGAUCUGGGCCGACACUGACGCUGUAGAGCGAAAGCGUGGGGAGCGAACAGG